This 497-nucleotide ribosomal RNA is filed under the name uncultured bacterium. RNAcentral's name for it is "partial 16S ribosomal RNA". It matches the Rfam family "Bacterial small subunit ribosomal RNA", at positions 28 to 507 of the family's 1533-position model. The record is from RNAcentral.
GAUGAACGCUGGCGGCGUGCCUAAUACAUGCGAGUCGAGCGAACGGACGAGAAGCUUGCUUCUCUGAUGUUAGCGGCGGACGGGUGAGUAACACGUGGAUAACCUACCUAUAAGACUGGGAUAACUUCGGGAAACCGGAGCUAAUACCGGAUAAUAUUUUGAACCGCAUGGUUCAAAAGUGAAAGACGGUCUUGCUGUCACUUAUAGAUGGAUCCGCGCUGCAUUAGCUAGUUGGUAAGGUAACGGCUUACCAAGGCAACGAUGCAUAGCCGACCUGAGAGGGUGAUCGGCCACACUGGAACUGAGACACGGUCCAGACUCCUGCGGGAGGCAGCAGUAGGGAAUCUUCCGCAAUGGGCGAAAGCCUGACGGAGCAACGCCGCGUGAGUGAUGAAGGUCUUCGGAUCGUAAAACUCUGUUAUUAGGGAAGAACAUAUGUGUAAGUAACUGUGCACAUCUUGACGGUACCUAAUCAGAAAGCCACGGCUAACUACGUG